GGAGGUUGGCUUAGAAGCAGCCAUCCUUGAAAGAGUGCGUAAUAGCUCACUGGUUAAGUGGUGAUGCGCCGAUAAUGUAGUGGGGCUUAUAAAGUACACCGCCGAAACCGCGGCAACACACAUUGUGUGUGUUGGGUAGGGGAGCGUCGUGCAUGCGUGGAAGCUGUCAUGGAAGUGGUGGUGGAGUGUGUGCGAGUGAGAAUGCAGGCAUGAGUAGCGAAAAACAUGUGGAAAACGUGUUCGCCGGAUGACUAAGGGUUCCUGGGUGAAGCUAAUCUUCCCAGGGUGAGUCGGGACCUAAGGCGAGGCCGACAGGCGUAGUCGAUGGAUAACGGGUUGAUAGUCCCGUACCCGUGUAUGCGCGACAAGUGGUGACUCGGUUGUACUAACCACCCACUACCAUUGAUGUUCACACGUUGUGUGUUUGUUGGUGUGUGGUGCGUGGGAUCUUGAUCGUUGGUAGCCAAGCGAUGGGGUGACACAGAUUGGUAGUCAAGGCCACUGAGUGGAUUGUGGUGUAAGCGUGUGGCCCGUAGGAUAGGUAAAUCCGUUCUGCAUAUAGGGUGAGGCGUGAUGCGUACCCAGAUUGUUGGGGAUGUUUGAUGUGCCUGUGCUGUCGAGAAAAGCCUCUAGCGAUGUGUGUGCACGGCCCGUACCGGAAACCGACACAGGUGGUCUGGUUGAGGAUACUAAGGCGUUCGGGUGAACUAUGGUUAAGGAACUCGGCAAAAUGCCCCCGUAACUUCGGGAGAAGGGGGGCCAUGUGCGGCAAUCACCCCUUGUGCGGUGUGCGUUGUGUGUGGCCGCAGAGAAGUGAGGGAAGCGACUGUUUAUUAAAAACACAGGUCCGUGCGAAGACGUUGCAAGUCGAGGUAUACGGACUGACGCCUGCCCGGUGCUGGAAGGUUAAGAGGACUCGUGAGCACGCCCUGGUGGUGUGUGAGGCGGGUAAUUGAAGCCCCAGUAAACGGCGGUGGUAACUAUAACCAUCCUAAGGUAGCGAAAUUCCUUGUCGGGUAAGUUCCGACCUGCACGAAUGGCGUAACGACUUCCCUGCUGUCUCAACCAUAGGCCCGGUGAAAUUGCAGUACGAGUAAAGAUGCUCGUUUCGCGCGGCAGGACGAAAAGACCCCGGGACCUUUACUAUAGCUUGGUAUUGGUGUGUGCUGCAGCUUGUGUAGGAUAGGUGGGAGACGUGGAAGCACCCACGCUAGUGGGUGUGGAGUCAUUGGUGAAAUACCACUCUGGUUGUUGUGUGCAUCUAACUGUGGGCCCUGAUCGGGUUUUGGGACAGUGCCUGGUGGGUAGUUUAACUGGGGCGGUUGCCUCCUAAAUGGUAACGGAGGCGCCCAAAGGUUUCCUCAGUCUGGUUGGCAAUCAGAUGGUGAGUGUAAGUGUAUAAGGGAGCUUGACUGUGACACUGACGGGUGGAGCAGGUGCGAAAGCAGGGACUAGUGAUCCGGCAUCAACGUGUGGGUGUGGUGUCGCUCAACGGAUAAAAGGUACCCCGGGGAUAACAGGCUGAUCUUCCCCAAGAGUUCAUAUCGACGGGAUGGUUUGGCACCUCGAUGUCGGCUCGUCGCAUCCUGGGGCUGGAGCAGGUCCCAAGGGUUGGGCUGUUCGCCCAUUAAAGCGGUACGCGAGCUGGGUUUAGAACGUCGUGAGACAGUUCGGUCCCUAUCCUCUGCGCGCGUUGGAAACUUGAGAAGGGCUGUCCCUAGUACGAGAGGACCGGGACGGACGAACCUCUGGUGUGCCAGUUAUCCUGCCAGGGGUAUGGCUGGUUUGCUACGUUCGGGAUGGGUAACCGCUGAAAGCAUCUAAGCGGGAAACUAGCUUCGAGAUUAGGUUUCCGUCCCACUUUUGUUGGGGGGAGGUUCCCGGUAGAUUACCGGGUUGAUAGGCUAGGAGUGUAGACAUUGUAAGGUGACCAGCUUACUAGUACUAAUUGACCGAUAACUAACAAU
RNAcentral lists this ribosomal RNA (1967 nucleotides) under human oral metagenome. RNAcentral's name for it is "bacterial LSU rRNA". It matches the Rfam family "Bacterial large subunit ribosomal RNA", at positions 1096 to 2925 of the family's 2925-position model. The record is from RNAcentral.